This 76-nucleotide transfer RNA is filed under the name Nanobdellota archaeon. RNAcentral describes it as "tRNA-Trp". It matches the Rfam family "tRNA". From Rfam's summary of the family: Transfer RNA (tRNA) molecules are approximately 80 nucleotides in length. Their secondary structure includes four short double-helical elements and three loops (D, anti-codon, and T loops). Further hydrogen bonds mediate the characteristic L-shaped molecular structure. tRNAs have two regions of fundamental functional importance: the anti-codon, which is responsible for specific mRNA codon recognition, and the 3' end, to which the tRNAs corresponding amino acid is attached (by aminoacyl-tRNA synthetases). tRNAs cope with the degeneracy of the genetic code in two manners: having more than one tRNA (with a specific anti-codon) for a particular amino acid; and 'wobble' base-pairing, i.e. permitting non-standard base-pairing at the 3rd anti-codon position. The record is from RNAcentral. Lineage: Archaea; Nanobdellati; Nanobdellota.
GGGGUUGUAGUCCAACCUGGCAAGAUGACCGGCUCCAAACCGGUUGAUGGGAGUUCAAAUCUCUCCAACCCCACCA